RNAcentral lists this ribosomal RNA (327 nucleotides) under uncultured Bacillota bacterium. RNAcentral's name for it is "bacterial SSU rRNA". It matches the Rfam family "Bacterial small subunit ribosomal RNA", at positions 28 to 351 of the family's 1533-position model. Lineage: Bacteria; Bacillati; Bacillota. The record is from RNAcentral.
GAUGAACGCUGGCGGCGUGCUUAACACAUGCAAGUCGAACGAAUCUUAGGGAGCUUGCUCCUUAAGGUUAGUGGCGGACGGGUGAGUAACGCGUGGGUAACCUGCCCUAUGCAGGGGGAUAACGUUUGGAAACGAACGCUAAUACCGCAUAAACUAUGGGUGUUCGCAUGAACACUAUAGUAAAGAUUUAUCGGCAUAGGAUGGACCCGCGUUGGAUUAGCUAGUUGGUGAGAUAACAGCCCACCAAGGCAACGAUCCAUAGCCGGCCUGAGAGGGUGAACGGCCACAUUGGGACUGAGACACGGCCCAAACUCCUACGGGAGGCUG